GAGGUUGUGGCUCAGAGGUAGAGCAUGUGCUUAGCAUGCACAAGGUCCUGGGUUCAAGCCCCAGUUCCUUCA
RNAcentral lists this transfer RNA (72 nucleotides) under Camelus ferus (Wild Bactrian camel). It matches the Rfam family "tRNA". Rfam says of the family: Transfer RNA (tRNA) molecules are approximately 80 nucleotides in length. Their secondary structure includes four short double-helical elements and three loops (D, anti-codon, and T loops). Further hydrogen bonds mediate the characteristic L-shaped molecular structure. tRNAs have two regions of fundamental functional importance: the anti-codon, which is responsible for specific mRNA codon recognition, and the 3' end, to which the tRNAs corresponding amino acid is attached (by aminoacyl-tRNA synthetases). tRNAs cope with the degeneracy of the genetic code in two manners: having more than one tRNA (with a specific anti-codon) for a particular amino acid; and 'wobble' base-pairing, i.e. permitting non-standard base-pairing at the 3rd anti-codon position. The record is from Rfam by way of RNAcentral. Lineage: Eukaryota; Metazoa; Chordata; Mammalia; Artiodactyla; Camelidae.